GAUGAAGAACGUAGCGAAAUGUGAUAAGUAGUGUGAAUUGCAGAAUUCCGUGAAUCAUCGAAUCUUUGAACGCACAUUGCGCCCGCCAGUAUUCUGGCGGGCAUGCCUGUCUGAGCGUCAUUUCAACCCUCAUGCCCCUAGGGCGUGGUGUUGGGGAUCGGCCAAAGCCCGCGAGGGACGGCCGGCCCCUAAAUCUAGUGGCGGACCCGUCGUGGCCUCCUCUGCGAAGUAGUGAUAUUCCGCAUCGGAGAGCGACGAGCCCCUGCCGUUAAACCCCCAACUUUCCAAGGUUGACCUCAGAUCAGGCAGGAAUACCCGCUGAACUUAAGCAUAUCAAUAAGCGGAGGA
This 348-nucleotide unclassified non-coding RNA is filed under the name soil metagenome. Its description in RNAcentral is "partial contains 5.8S ribosomal RNA, internal transcribed spacer 2, and large subunit ribosomal RNA". The stretch from base 1 to 120 matches the Rfam family "5.8S ribosomal RNA", at positions 35 to 154 of the family's 154-position model. The record is from RNAcentral.